This 2139-nucleotide long non-coding RNA is filed under the name Fukomys damarensis (Damara mole-rat). Its description in RNAcentral is "lncRNA (ENSFDAG00000028500.1)". The record is from RNAcentral. Lineage: Eukaryota; Metazoa; Chordata; Mammalia; Rodentia; Bathyergidae.
AUGUUUAAAUUCUUAAAAAAUUAUUAUAGUAGAAGGCACACUGACAUUAGUACUCCCCUGGCUGCACCCUUAUCCUGUCACUCUUGCCGCCACCUACAGCAGUCCCGGAAGUCGUCGUCUUUCAUGAGUGUCUUUCAAGUUGCGAUUAAAAAAAAAAAAAAGAAAAAAAAUACAGCGAACGCUUCUUCUGGGUGCCAUCCAAAGGAAAGGCAAGUUUAUACAAACUUUAUCGUGCACCUUUGUCCACCUCAUUCGCUGGAUCUGGCACCAAGUGACUUCUGGCUCUUCUUCAAAGUCAAAAUCCCAAUGAAAGGUUUGUGGUGGACACUGAUAUGCUUUAUUGUAUGGCGUGCACUCUGAGGAAAAUCAGCAGCCGUGUUCUCAGCUGCUCUGUGGAAAGGCUUACAGGACAAGAAACCAAGGGAAUUCUUCAACCAACAGCCUAUAAAGCACCAAGUCCUACCAACAGCCGUGUGAGGGAGCUUGGAAGAGGAUCUUACACCAGGUGAGCAUCCACAGGAGACCUAAGCAGAGGGGUUGGGCUGGAGGUGCCCAGGGACUUCACACCUGGAUCCCUGAACAAGUAGAGUGAGGAAAUAAUGUGUGCUGUAAGGCAUUAGGCUUUGCGGUAAUUUGUUACACGUCAACAAGUAACUAUGACGAGGGGUUUAUUUACUGGAGGAAGAGGAGGGGCUACCAGUGGCGGUGAACUUAUGGCAUAUGGGCCACAGCCAGCUGUUUAUUAUUGGAAGCUCUGAAAGGAUUGCCACCUGUGGACUUUGGAUGGUUCUUGUGGAAGGUGAGAAACAGUGCAAAUGACUGGCAACUCAGUAGGGUUUCUGGGCAGUGGUGGACACCAAUUUGAGCUGAGCGACCAUGGUUUUCUAGUAGAAUGAGUCUGCUUUCUGCAAGAGGCAAUGAGGUUACUAUUUUAUUUUCUAAAGGAAAAUUCUAUUAUGUUUAGAUUGGCCAUGGGAAAUAGAACUCUCAUUUGAUCUUUUCAUGACAUCAUUGGGAAAAUUUAUCUUUUUAGCAUAUCUGCUGAGGGUCUGUGUAUUAAUCUAUUUUCUGUUGCUGUAACAAAAUACUUGCCCAGGGUGGUGGCAUGCACUUGUCAUCCUAGCACUGGGAAGGCUGAGGCAGGAGGAUCACUGCAAGUUCAAGACCAGUUUGAGCCACACAGUGAGUUCAAGGCCAGUCUGAACUACACAGUGAGGCCCUGUCUUGAAAAACCAAACCAAACCAAAAUACCUGAGAUUAGAUUAUGAGGAGAGAGGAGAGAGGCAGACCAUUUAGCUCACAUUUUAGAGACUGAAAGUCUGUGAUCAGUGGCCUCAUUUGCUGAGCUUUUGGUGCUGGCCUCACGGGAGCUAGGAGAGAUCACAUGGUGAGACUGGAAGCAGAGGGGCUGCUCUUUUGUAACUCGCUGUUGGGGCCCUAAAUAAGGUCCCACAAGAACUACGGUAACUCCCCAUCGCUGAAGCACCUCUCGCGAGGCUUCACCUCUUUCUAGUCCCACAGCCUCUCACUGCCAUACUGAGGACCGAGCUCCCAACACAUAAACCUUUCGGGGUCAAACUUGCCCCUCCAAACCACCGUAGCCCAUUAUUCACCAGAUAUUCUUUCCUUUUCUCCAGUGCUUGGGAUUAAACCGAAGGUGUGCUCUGCCACUGAGUUACAUUCCCAGACCUGUUUGUUUUUUUAUUUUGAGACAGACUCUUACUCAUUUGCCCAGGUUGGCUUCCAACGUGAGGCUCCUCUGCCUCAGCUUCCCUCAGUGCUGGGAUGUUAGGUGUGCUCCACCAUCCCCAGCGCAGGCGGUCUUUAUUCACUAACGAAUAUUAAUUGUUUAAUAGAUGACACAUGGGGAUGUGAGGCUUGUGUUCUUGUGGGGACUUGAAAAAACUAUAAGUAAACAAGAAGAAAGCAGGCCAAGGGGGACAGCGAGAAGGGCUGCUCUUUUACAUAGAGAGGCCAAGGAAACUUAGAGUGAGUUGUAGAGGCAGAAGAUAGAGCAGCAAACAUGGUAUAGCCCUUGCCCUUGGAAGGGCCAGGGAUUUAGCUCAGUGGUUCCGUCGCCUUCCUCACAAGCGCAAGGGCCCGAGUUCGAUACCCGGUACCAGAACAAAACAACCCAAC